AGUGAACGCUGGCGGUAGGCCUAACACAUGCAAGUCGAACGGCAGCACAGUAAGAGCUUGCUCUUACGGGUGGCGAGUGGCGGACGGGUGAGGAAUACAUCGGAAUCUACUUUUUCGUGGGGGAUAACGUAGGGAAACUUACGCUAAUACCGCAUACGACCUACGGGUGAAAGCAGGGGAUCUUCGGACCUUGCGCGAUUGAAUGAGCCGAUGUCGGAUUAGCUAGUUGGCGGGGUAAAGGCCCACCAAGGCGACGAUCCGUAGCUGGUCUGAGAGGAUGAUAAGGCACACUGGAACUGAGACACGGGCCAGACACCGACGGGAGGCAGCAGUGGGGAAGAGUGGACAAUGGGCGCAAGCCUGAUCCAGCCAUACCGGGUGGGGGAAGAAGGCCUUCGGGUUGUAAAGCCCUUUUGUUGGGAAAGAAAAGCAGCAGGUGAAUACCCCGCUGUUCUGACGGUACCCAAAGAAUAAGCACCGGCUAACUUCGUG
Molecule: ribosomal RNA, 492 nt
Filed under: uncultured bacterium
Lineage: Bacteria
Description: partial 16S ribosomal RNA
Rfam family: Bacterial small subunit ribosomal RNA
Source: RNAcentral